Molecule: ribosomal RNA, 253 nt
Filed under: uncultured bacterium
Lineage: Bacteria
Description: partial 16S ribosomal RNA
Rfam family: Bacterial small subunit ribosomal RNA
Source: RNAcentral
UACGGGGGGGGCAAGCGUUGUUCGGAAUUACUGGGCGUAAAGGGCUCGUAGGCGGCCAACUAAGUCGGAUGUGAAAUCCCCAGGCUCAACUUGGGAACUGCAUCCGAUACUGGAUGGCUUGAAUCCGGGAGAGGGAUGCAGAAUUCCAGGUGUAGCGGUGAAAUGCGUAGAUAUCGAGAGGAACACCUGCGGCGAAGGCGGGUUGCUGGGCUGACACUGACGCUGAUGCGCGAAAGCCAGGGGAGCCAACGGG